AACAAUAAUAAUAAUAACAACAGUAGUGGUGGUAAUAAUAACAACAGUAGUGGUGGUAAUAAUAACAACUACGAAGGAAGUAACGGUAUUUACAUUGAUGGUAAUGAAGAAUAUGAAAAUUUGUUUAAGUAUAAUCCCUAUGACGAAGAAAAAAAAAAUAUAAAAAUAAAAAAUUUAUGCAUUGUUAAUAAAACACAAAAUGUAAUAAUAACAUUAAAAAAUACUUUAUCAAUCGAUUUAGUUAUGAAUAACGUGACAUUGUUAACAUGGGGUGUGGACGUAGAUAAAUAUCCAUGUAGCUUAAUCUUGUUAUCAAAAAAAAAAAAGAAAUAUACAAAAGCUAUAUUAUCAUUUAAAGCAAAACAAACAGGUCUUCUUUUUAUAAUUGGUAUUACAUAUUGUAUUAGUUAUUUAUGUUUUAAUCAAUGUUUAUUAUAUGACACGUCAGUAGUAAAACGAUGGUUUAUGCAAAGUAACAAAGAGUAUGUAAAUAAUUUUCAAAACAGGUAUAACAACAUGGAUGAUAUGAAUGCAAAUACAAAAUCAAUUAAACAAGCAAGAAAUACAAAUGUAAACAAACUGGUAAAAAGAAAAAUGAAGUCAUUAAAUCACGUUUUUAAAAAGUCCAACAUAUGCGCCAUUUUUGUUAUUAAUAACCAUUUUUCCCUAAACAUGGUCAUAAAACUUGUUAAUUUUAGUAACUAUGUUAAUAUAAAUUCGUUAAUUAAUGAUAAUAGUUAUUUUAAUAGAUUUUUUCCAGGAGAUACAUAUGGACAUAACAAUUGGGAGAACUGCAUAAGUACGGAUAAUAAAUUUGUUUCCAAAUUUACAGAUGACAUAAGUAACAAUUCAGCAUCUUUUGUUAAUUCGAAAACCACCGGAGGAAAGCACUUUUUAGAUAAACAACAGUUUUGUUCGCUUCAGGGCAUGCUUGAGUUGGCAGACUCGCGGGGUUAUAGUAGCAGUGGUAGUAGAAGAAGUGGUGGUAGAAGAAGUGGUGGUAGAAGAAGUGGUGGUAGAAGAAGUGGUGGUAGUAGCAGUUGCAGCAGCAGUUGCAGCAGCAGUUGCAGCAGUAGUUGCAGCAGCAGAAGCGGUGGCAACAUACUCACCUACGAAGAACAAAAUGAUAAUGACAAAACAUACCAACACGCGAUGUCUACAAUAAACAAUAAUAUAUAUUUUGAAAGUGACGCCAGAUACUGUGAAUUGUUGGAAGGAGAGAUACGCUUCCUAUGUUUAUGCAUCGAAAAUAAAACAAACAUAGAUGUAAAAUAUGUUAAUAUAAGUGUAAAUUAUAAAAAUAAUGACAAGAACAUAGGCAACUAUUUUAUUCGGUUAUAUUUUGAACAUGCUUUUUAUACAUUUAACAACACCAGCGAAAACAAUGUAGUGUAUAUAAAAAAUAAAGAAAAUAUAAUUAUUCCUAAAAAUAGCACAUUAUAUAUACCAAUCAAGUGUUUGGGUUCAAUUUUAAUAAACGAAUGUUUUAUUUCUGUGUGCUAUUCUAUUUGUAAAAGUUGUUUAUAUUACUGUGUUCAAGAUCUAGCUUUAAAAUUAAACGUACGAAAAAAUAUAACAAUUGAUAGGAUCUUGUUUUUUCCUUCCGUUGGUUAUACAUCUGAGGAUGUGCUAACUCGGUUGUUAAAUAGUGGUUAUUAUUCAGAGAACAUUUUAAAUAAAAUUGGUAAAGUAUGUAAAAACACGGAUGUGGAUUGUGUGGGCGGCGUAUCAGGUAUGACAGGCGUGUCAGCCAUACCAGACGCAUCAGAUGUGCCACGCCACCCCGUUAACACUGGUACCAUGUCCAAUAUGCUAAUUCCCAACACGACAAACCAAACGCUCGAAAACAUACUUGACAUAUCCAUGAUAAGAAAAAAAAAAAAAAAAGCAAUAUACACUAACAUCGACCUUGACAGUUGCUUAAAACAUGAAGACGUUAUAACAAACGAAAUGAGUUUCAAUUUUAUGAAUGCGACAGACACAUAUGAUUCUGAUGGUUGUGAUGUGGCACAAAGGGUAGAUUACACAAAAGGAAACGGAGAAGCGUCGUUUGUAGAUAAAAAUACGUUUGUAGUUAAAAGAAUGGUUAGAGGAGUAAUCGAAAAUGUUAAAAAUGCGACAAAUUUUAACAAAAGCAACGGUGGUAGACAAAACCAAUCAGUACAUUUCUUUACAACAUCCGGAAGUAAUUUCCUGUACAAAGAAGCUCCGUAUAACGCGAACAAACAUGAUAUUGUACAAAAUAUGAAUUAUAUUAGUAAUAUAUACAGAAAGAAAAAUGAUUUAAACAUAUGUUAUGACAAUGAAUGCAUAUUUUUAGAAUUGUAUAUGAAAAAUGAUAGUGGAUAUGUAAACUAUUGUAUGUGUAACAAAUUAAAAAAAAAAUUACCUUAUUGUAUAGUGGAAAAAACGAAUGAAUUAAAAAAAUGGCUACUAUGGGUUAAACGAAUAAAAAGAAGCAAAAAAAAUAAUAUUUAUUUGGAAAAUGAAAAAGAUGCCAUAAUUUAUUUUGUACUUUAUAUAGAUUUGUAUUUUCGUUUAACUUACUCAAUACAUAAAAAAACAGGUUUGUUAAGUGCUUAUAGUUCUUAUCUAAAUAACAC
This 2603-nucleotide long non-coding RNA is filed under the name Piliocolobus tephrosceles (Ugandan red Colobus). RNAcentral describes it as "lncRNA (ENSPTEG00000010722.1)". Lineage: Eukaryota; Metazoa; Chordata; Mammalia; Primates; Cercopithecidae. The record is from RNAcentral.